CCGAGAGAUAGACGCUGUCAAUCAAACUCCACAAGAUCAAUCAUCGGAUGAAGCGUUCCUGCUGGCAACCUUGCCAAAUAUUACACGACUCUGCGACAUUAUAUAAAUCUCAUGACACGACAAAGGUAUGGGAAAAGAGCCAGUCCUGACACAGUAUUUUUGGAUUUGCUGCCAAGAGAGA
Long non-coding RNA from Paramisgurnus dabryanus, 181 nucleotides. RefSeq lists it as uncharacterized. The record is from RefSeq and is a predicted model, not a curated record. Lineage: Eukaryota; Metazoa; Chordata; Actinopteri; Cypriniformes; Cobitidae.